This 449-nucleotide ribosomal RNA is filed under the name uncultured bacterium. Its description in RNAcentral is "partial 16S ribosomal RNA". It matches the Rfam family "Bacterial small subunit ribosomal RNA", at positions 28 to 523 of the family's 1533-position model. The record is from RNAcentral.
GACGAACGCUGGCGGCAGGCCUAACACAUGCAAGUCGAACGCUGUAGCAAUACAGAGUGGCAGACGGGUGAGUAACACGUGGGAAUCUUCCUAUCGGUACGGAAUAGCUCAGGGAAACUUGGGGUAAUACCGCAUACGCCCUUCGGGGGAAAGAUUUAUCGCCGAUAGAUGAGCCCGCGUCUGAUUAGCUAGUUGGUGAGGUAAUGGCUCACCAAGGCGACGAUCAGUAGCUGGUCUGAGAGGAUGACCAGCCACACUGGGACUGAGACACGGCCCAGACUCCUACGGGAGGCAGCAGUGGGGAAUAUUGGACAAAGGGCGCAAGCCUGAUCCAGCCAUGCCGCGUGAGUGACGAAGGUCUUCGGAUUGUAAAGCUCUUUUGGCGGGGACGAUAAUGACGGUACCCGCAGAAUAAGCCCCGGCUAACUUCGUGCCAGCCGCCGCAGUAA